This 2196-nucleotide long non-coding RNA is filed under the name Felis catus (domestic cat). RNAcentral's name for it is "lncRNA (ENSFCAG00000051405.1)". The record is from RNAcentral. Lineage: Eukaryota; Metazoa; Chordata; Mammalia; Carnivora; Felidae.
CCUGACGUGCAAAAUGCCUCUGGCCCUUAGGUUCUAAGACAGGAUUGUGGGCCUGUGUUACUUUUACAAUCGGCAAACAAACAGAAACAUACGAAAACGGUCAUGAUACUCCUCUACUCAACAGGAUAAGAUGUGUUAAGACGGUUUUUGCUUUGGGUUUUGGUUUUUUUGAGAGAAAGAAAGGGUGCAAAUGAGCCAGGGGCAGAGGGAGGGAGAGAGAAUCCCAGGAGGGGCAGAUGGGGAGAGGGAGAGAGAGAGAGAGGAAGAAGGAAGUGGGGCUCAAGCUCACCUGAUCCAGGGCUGGCACUCAUGAACCGUGAGACCACGACCUGAGCCAAAGUCAGAUGCUUGGCGAUCGAGCCACCCAGGCGUCCAAGGAGGUAUUAUUAAGUAAACACUCACCCAAAAAGUUCUCUCUGAAAACUAAAUUACAAAAAAAAAAAAAAAAGGUAUGGGUAGUCGUCCUAAUCUUAUUUUACAGAUGAGGAAAUAGGUGCUCGGAAGGUUUUGAACCAGAAGUCCCACAGCUGGAGCACGCUGGUGUUGGACGUAGAUCUCAGGUGUUUAUGACCACAGCUCACCCAUCUGAGCCCCACACAUGACUGCCUUCCUGUUUCUGGACUCCAGGCACAGCGCCUGGCAGGGACAGGCAUCUAUGAUGUCACAGGGCUGAACGAAUGAGCACUUUCUUGGCGUGAGGUUAAUUUCAUAGAAGGCCAAGGUCAUCUGAAUUCCAUCUUAAACAGGAAAGAAAGCAAGGUGCAGCUUGGCAGGGCCUAGAUAAGAGCUGAGGCCACUGAUGUAUGUUCGGUUGCAGCCUGGAAACCAUCACGGGGGAUGACAUAAACCACCGUCCGCGUACGAUGCUUUAUAGGUUGUGUGGACACGGGCUCCGGAGCCAGACCCCUUGGGUUCCGAUCCACGUUCACCAUUCAUUAGUUGCAAGAGCUCUGACUCCCGGAAGAAGGAAGAGGACGGCCCCUCGGGGCCGCACAGAAUGGACAGGCCAAGCGACAGGAGGGAGGCCGCCCGCGCUCCUCCAGGGCCUCGAGGAAGGCACAGUCACACCUGCAAAACACAGCGCCCAUCUUUUUCAUCCACUUUUACUUCUCAGGAGACCCCGGUCCCCAGAGACCUAUUUUCACCUCCCCAGCUCGGCACACGUUUUCUACAUGAUAUUAACCGGUCGCCUUUGAAUCUCGCACAUCCUGGUAUGCUUUGGAUUCACCGACCUCAUUUUUACACACACACACACACACACACACACACACACCGGAAUCUGUACCAGCUGACUGCCGGCAAAAGAAAACGUUAGUGUGGCUCUCUCUCCUUCUUUUAAACAGCUUAAUUGAGAUACAAUGUACACGCCAUAAAACUCACUUAAAGUGUGUUCUUGCCUGACUUUGCGUUUAUUUACUGGGGUGUGCAUUAGCUGUUUCUUCUUGAAAAAUGGGGCCGCCGGGUGGACGUUUUGACCCUACAGGCUCCCCCCUUUGACAGGUGACAUCUAAAUAGAGAGCAGAUUCUGUCCAUGUUUCCACCCCCUUCGCCCCCCUCCAAAAGUUGUUUUACUCAUUUUGCCACUUACAACCUACUUCCUGUGUUUGGAGUCUGAGCCGCCCAGGCCUUUUCAGGAGACUUGCUGCCUUGUUUCUGCACUAAUAGUAAGUUUCUUUUGUGUUGGAGGGAUUUUCUGUUCGGUUUUUUGUUAUUUAGAGUCUUCUGCUGUUUCCCUUAACUGCGGGGCUGGGGAGACCCCAAUGAAGGGUAUCUGUGUGGCCUAACGGACUCUGCAGAAGUAUUUGGUACUUAGAGCCAAAUGUAAACGUUCGCAGCAUUCUGACUCUGGGGGUGGUCAGAAAGGAAGAUGGUUAGGAAUAUGAAGAGGCCUGGAGCUUUUUCCUGAUAUUAAAAUGUUAAUCUCUAGUUUCGCUCUGACUGCUGUCUCUGUUCCCUCGUUUGAAGAAUAGGAUUUAAAAUAACUGCUUCAUGGGGCGCCCGGGUGGCUCUGUCUGCGAAGCAUCCGACUCCAGCUCAGGUCACGAUCUCGCGGCUCGUGAGUUCGAGCCCCACGUCGGGCUCUGUGCCGACAGCUCGGAGCCCGGAGCCCGCUUCGGAUUCUGUGUCCCUCUUUCUCUCCACCCCACCCCUGCUUGUGCUCUGUCUCUCUGUGUCUUUCAAAAAUAACUGCUUCAG